GUGUCAGCCGCCGCGGUAAUACGGAGGGCGCAAGCGUUACUCGGAAUCACUGGGCGUAAAGAGCGUGUAGGCGGACUAAUAAGUCAGAAGUGAAAUCCAAUAGCUUAACUAUUGAACUGCUUUUGAAACUGUUUGUCUAGAGUGUGGGAGAGGUAGAUGGAAUUUCUGGUGUAGGGGUAAAAUCCGUAGAUAUCAGAAGGAAUACCGAUUGCGAAGGCGAUCUACUGGAACAUAACUGACGCUGAGACGCGAAAGCGUGGGGAGCAAACAGGAUUAGAUACCCCGGUAGUCC
This 292-nucleotide ribosomal RNA is filed under the name uncultured bacterium. Its description in RNAcentral is "partial 16S ribosomal RNA". It matches the Rfam family "Bacterial small subunit ribosomal RNA", at positions 505 to 796 of the family's 1533-position model. The record is from RNAcentral.